UUAUAGUCAUUCGACAAUUGAUUCAGACAUUCUUCUUUUCAAUAAAAGGGUUUCAAUGGGUGCCGUCGGCGGGCUGACCCUCCCGCCCCGCAAGGGGUUGAAGGUGCCGCCGAAGCAAACAGUGGGGUUUUCACAAAGGGUGUACCGUUGGACGCGCGUAGGGAGACAAGCACCCCCGCGGCCUCGGGCUGGCCUUUCGGCCGGUGUAUUUGGUAAUGAUCCUUCCGCAGGUUCACCUACGGAAA
This 245-nucleotide unclassified non-coding RNA is filed under the name uncultured fungus. RNAcentral describes it as "sequence contains ITS1". Lineage: Eukaryota; Fungi. The record is from RNAcentral.